RNAcentral lists this ribosomal RNA (119 nucleotides) under Pteropus alecto (black flying fox). Lineage: Eukaryota; Metazoa; Chordata; Mammalia; Chiroptera; Pteropodidae. The record is from RNAcentral.
GUCUACGGCCAUGCUACCCUGAACAAGCCCGAUCCUGUCUGAUCUCGGAAGCUAAGCGGAGUCAGGCCUGGUUAGUACUUGGAUGGGAGACCACCUAGGAAGACCAGGUGCUAUGGUGU